RNAcentral lists this ribosomal RNA (406 nucleotides) under uncultured bacterium. RNAcentral describes it as "partial 16S ribosomal RNA". It matches the Rfam family "Bacterial small subunit ribosomal RNA", at positions 30 to 526 of the family's 1533-position model. The record is from RNAcentral.
AUUGAACGCUGGCGGCAGGCCUAACACAUGCAAGUCGAACGAGUGGCGGACGGGUGAGUAAUGUCUGGGAAACUGCCUGAUGGAGGGGGAUAACUAAUGGAAACGGUAGCUACUACCGCAUUCAGUCGGCUGUGCCCAGUUGGGAUUAGCUAGUAGGUGGGGUAAAGGCUCACCUAGGCGACGAUCCCUAGCUGGUCUGAGAGGAUGACCAGCCACACUGGAACUGAGACACGGUCCAGACUCCGACGGGAGGCAGCAGUGGGGAAUAUUGCACAAUGGGCGCAAGCCUGAUACAGCCAUGCCGCGUGUAUGAAGAAGGCCUUCGGGUUGUAAAGUACUUUCAGCGGGGAGGCGUUACCCGCAGAAUAAGCACCGGCUAACUCCGUGCCAGCAGCCGCGGUAAUAC